Molecule: small RNA, 125 nt
Filed under: Marmota monax (woodchuck)
Lineage: Eukaryota; Metazoa; Chordata; Mammalia; Rodentia; Sciuridae
Source: RNAcentral
GCUGGGCGCAGUGGCGCACAACUGUAAUCCCAGCAGCUUGGGAGGCUGAGGCAGGAGGAUCACGAGUUCAAAGCUAGCCUCAGUGACAGGGAGGCGCUAAGCAACUCAGUGAGACCCUGUCUCUA